This 857-nucleotide long non-coding RNA is filed under the name Zea mays. RNAcentral's name for it is "long non-coding RNA (ZMAY_LNC005718)". The record is from RNAcentral. Lineage: Eukaryota; Viridiplantae; Streptophyta; Magnoliopsida; Poales; Poaceae.
GGUGGUGGACUUCCGGAUCGUACUUAGGGAUUUGCCCAAACUUCCGGUGAAGGCAAGUAAAACAGUGAUAGUUAUUCCGUCUGUCGAAUGAAGAGUCUUAUACUUGAUUAUGUUUGUGCUAUUUGUGUUCGUAUUGAUAUUUCUAAUUGAGUCCCAUCGUUGGAAGAUAUUCAUGUUUUAUUGAUUACAUAUGUUGAGUUUGUGGUUUGAUCAUGUUACCCAUGUGGUUUAUUAUGUGGAAUGGGUGGAAGUAUAUGUCUAGCACAUUUUGUUUGGGAAGAACUCAUGUUGUUGACUUGCAUAAUGCAUUCAUCAUCCAUUGCAUUGAAGUUUCAUCGUGAUCUUAUGGUCCGAUCGUACCGGUACAAUGAGCAUCAUAUGUUGCCCGAGAAGGGGUAUGAUGCAGCUUCAUAUCCUUAGAGAUGUGAAGGCAGAAGUCAUUACUGCAUCUGUAGCCAUGUGCAUUCAUGGGAGAGGUGUGGAAUCUGUUAUGUGGAUGUGGACAGUGUGGAUCUUUACAUUGUGAUUCAUCUUGGCAUUAAGUAAUCAGUUACUUGCUUACUUGCUGCAAAUUAUUAUUCAAGAAGGAAGUUUUGAACUACGUGGUUGUUUAAGCACGGUUGGUUUACAUUGUCCAAUUGUUGUUUGCUCUGUUUACUUGCUGAGAUGUGUCAUCUCACUCUUGCAUUGUCUGAUGAAGGCACCUGAUUUCUGCUUUGGGAAAGAAGGGAUGUAGCAGCACGGCCACUACACCUUUAAUAAAGGAACCACUGCUUAAUAAUGUUGUUAAUCAGGGAGGGUCAAGUCUAGGGAAUUAUUAUGUUCUAGCCUUUCAUGGUAGUUGAGCUGAUUUUUUU